Molecule: ribosomal RNA, 277 nt
Filed under: uncultured bacterium
Lineage: Bacteria
Description: partial 16S ribosomal RNA
Rfam family: Bacterial small subunit ribosomal RNA
Source: RNAcentral
GAUGAACGCUGGCGGCGUGCCUAAUACAUGCAAGUCGAACGGGUGUAGCAAUACACUAGUGGCGAACGGGUGAGUAACACGUUGGUGACCUGCCCUAAAGAGGGGAAUACCACUUCGAAAGGAGUGACAAAACCGCAUAAGCUAGUGCUAGUUAGAGAGGCAUUAGUAAAAGAGCAAUCUACUUUAGGAGGGGCCUGCGGCCCAUCAGCUAGUUGGUGAGGUAAAAGCCCACCAAGGCGAAGACGGGUAGGGGACCUGAGAGGGUGAUCCCCCACAA